UAUUGAAGAAACUUAGCCUUUUAAAUGACUUGCAUCUAAAAAAUGAUCUAAAUAGUACAGUCCUGAUAGUGCUUCUUAUCUGAUUUCUAUAGUGAUCCAGGGACAAGAAGUUUCUAAAAACGGCUUUCCAAACCCAACUCCGAGCAACAUCAAAGAGACAGGAUGUGACUGGGGCUCUUGACCAGAGGACUGGAUUAAGUUAAGAAAAAGCUGUUACCUCUUCUCUAAAGAUAAAAAUAACUGGGGAGACAGCAAGAAGACUUGUGCAGCUCUGAAUUCCAGCUUGCUGUGGAUAGAUAGCAAAGAAGAGGAGGAUUUUGUAGCAUUGUUUUCCAUUUUUGCAUGGAUUGGCUGACUCGUAUUGGACCUGUUAUUUCUUGGAAGUGGGAGAGUGG
This 395-nucleotide long non-coding RNA is filed under the name Ornithorhynchus anatinus (platypus). Its description in RNAcentral is "lncRNA (ENSOANG00000048724.1)". Lineage: Eukaryota; Metazoa; Chordata; Mammalia; Monotremata; Ornithorhynchidae. The record is from RNAcentral.